GGCCCCCAAAAUAGAUGCAUGUCGUCAUUAGAGAGAGUCCCAAUGAGGCUCGAUUUGUUCUUCUUCGCUGUUUUUUAACUGGUGACAAAAGGCUUUCACUUUGGUUAAAUGGGAGGAGAUUCUUGUGACUCAUCAGUUGAAUCGGAAUAUAGAGAAAGAACGUCAGGGGAGAGAGAAGGGCUAGGGACAGAGCUAUUUAUAGAGGACAUUGAGCGGGUCUUAGUCAUGAUGAAGGAGAGAAGUGAGAGAGGAAGACAGGAAAAAGAGGAAAGUGAAGAAUUAAGAGAGAAGAGGAAGGGUUUUCUGGAAGAGUGAGAGAGAGAAGAAAAGUCUGAAGAUGAAGAGACAAAAGAGGAGUGAAGGGAAAGUUAAGGGAGAAGAAAGGUGGCAGAGCACGCUAAACAAGGAAACACAAU
This 416-nucleotide unclassified non-coding RNA is filed under the name Hevea brasiliensis (rubber tree). The record is from RNAcentral. Lineage: Eukaryota; Viridiplantae; Streptophyta; Magnoliopsida; Malpighiales; Euphorbiaceae.